RNAcentral lists this long non-coding RNA (3213 nucleotides) under Ornithorhynchus anatinus (platypus). RNAcentral's name for it is "lncRNA (ENSOANG00000043286.1)". The record is from RNAcentral. Lineage: Eukaryota; Metazoa; Chordata; Mammalia; Monotremata; Ornithorhynchidae.
CUAGUAAGUGUGGUAUUUGUUAAGCACUUACUGUGCGCCAGGCACUCUUCUAAGCAGUGGGGUAGAUACGAGCAAAUCAGGUUGGACAUAGUCCCCGUCCCACGUAAGGCUCACGGUCUUAAUCCCCAUUUUACAGAUGAAGGAACUGAGGCCCAGAGAAGCAAAGUGACUUGCUCAAGGUCACACAGCAGACAAGUGGCAGAGCCCAGACUAAACCCAGGUCUUUCUGACUUCCAGGCCCAUGCUAUAUCCACUAGGCCAUUCUUCUCCGUGCAAUCAGGAAGAAGAGAGAGAGAAGACUCCAAAAGGAAGAAGACGAUCCAACUCGGUUCUUCAGAUGAAGGGAACUGAUCUCCCAAACCCCUGUCUCUCUCCGCUUCAGUCCAUACUUCACUUUACUGCCCAGAUUAUCUUUCUACAGAAACAUUCUGGGCAUGUCACCUCCCUCCUCCAAAAUCUCCCGUGGUUGCCUAUCGACCUCCGUAUCAAGCAAAAACUCCUCACGAUUGGCUUCAGAGCUCUUCAUCACCUUGCCCCCUUCUACCUCACCUCCCUUCUCUCUUUCUACAGCCCAGCCUGCACACUCUGCUCCUCUGGUGUUAACCUUCUCGCUGUGCCUCGUUCUCGCCUGUUCCACCGUCGACCCCUGCCCCACAUCCUCCCUCUGGUCUGGAAUGCCCUCCCUCCUCAAAUCCGCCAAACUGGCACACUUCCCCCCUUCAAAGCCCUACUGAAAGCUCACCUCCUCCAGGAGGCCUUCCCAGACUAAGCCCUCCCUUUUCCUCUGUUCCCCAUCCCCUCCCGAUCACCCCGACUCGCUCCCUUUGUUCUACCCCCUUCCCCACCCCACAGCACUUGCGUAUAAAUGUACAUGUUUAUAAUUCUAUUUAUUUUUAUUAAUGAUGUGUAUAAAUCUAUAAUUCUAUUUAUUUAUAAUGAUGCUACUGAUGCCUGUUUACUUGUUUUGAUGUCUGUCUCCCUUCUUCUGGACCGUGAGCCCUUUGUGGGCAGGGAUUGUCUCUGUUGCUGAAUUGUACUUUCCAAGUGCUUAGUCCAGUGCUCUGCACACAGUAAGUGCUCAAUAAAUGCGAUUGAAUGAAUGAAUGAAUUCUUUGAGGUAGUAUUUCUAAAAUUGGCCAUCCCAUCUCUCAGUGAAUCGAUGGUCUUUUAUUUUAAAGGUAUUUGCUAAGCACUCACUAUGUGCCAGGCACUGUACUAAGCGCUGGGGUAGAUACAAGCACCUCAGGUUGGAAACAGUCUAUGUCCCACACGGGGCUCGCCGUCUUAAUCCCCAUUUUACAGAUGCGGUAACUGAGGAACAGAGAAGUGACUUGCCCAAGGUCAUACAGCAGACAAGCAGCAGAGCUUGGAUUUGAACCCAGGUCCUCUGACUCCCAAGCUCAUGCUCUAUCCACUAGGCCAAGAUGCUUCUUAUUAAUUAAUUCAUUCAUUCAUUCAAUCAUACCAAACAAAGAUGUUAGCCCUGAUUUCCAGGAUUUCCGGGUCUAAGGCAGCCUUCCCCAUUAAGACCUAGAGAAAAGUGAAACAGUAACAGGGCGGCCCCUGUCUCCACCCACCUUUAAGGAGGGCCUGCCCCAGGAUCCCCUUUCCAGAAGCAGAAGUCCCUGCCAAAAGCUAAAACUCCAGGAGGCCGCUCAGCUGUGAGCCGGAGGUGAGGCUCAGAAGGGAUUCUCAGUGAGAACUGGAAGCAAGGAGAAAUCAUCUGGAGGCCAUUCAGAGGGCACGGAGCGAGUCGGUUUGACUUGGCUUAGGAAGAUGAAGAAGAUGAAGGGACAUUUAAUCAGGGAGUGGGAGAGGUGGAAAAGUCAACUCUUGUCCACUUCCAGCCAGAGGUGCCAUGAGGAUGAUUCAGAAACAUGGCUCACGUCCAGGAAAAAUCCAUUUUCAUCUCUUCUGCCACCCAGGUGGCAAGAAAUAGGGCUGACAGUUCCCAUAACCUAAAGUGUUCUCUUCCCAGGCUCUCCUACAGGAAGCUGAGCCCACUUUUCUUUCACCGAGGCAGUCGUCUCUCCCAGAAGUCGGCUCUACGAUGGAGAGGCUGGGACCAUGUCAGUGAUGUCACCCUGAAGAGGGUGGUGUCGCCCAAAAGCCCACCAUUUUGGAGUAGAUUGGGUUGUAAACCCCAAGUGGGAGAGGGACUGUGUCCAACCUAACUCAUUUGCACCUACCCCAGCCCUUGGAACAGUGUUUGACACACAGUAAGUGCUUAACAGUCCCUCUCAGGGUCACACCUGAAGAGUUUCCACUCCUCUACCAGUCUUGACUAUGGGAGAGAGAGUCAAGCAGAGGCCUACCCAUUCCAUUCCUAGCUUGGGCAGUGGCUAGUGAGCGGAAGGCCACCUGCUACACAAGUCAAAACUCACCUGUGCUGGGCAGCAGUGGCACGGGAGAGAAUCGAGGGCAGAGACACAAGUUUACCGUGUGGAAAGAGGCAGUGGUAAACCACUCCCGUAUUUCUUACCAAGAAAACUCUACGGAUCCACUACCAGAACGACUGCACAUGGAGGAGGGGCGUUCUGGGAGAGAUGUGUCCGUGGUGUCGCUCUGCGUCGGAGAUGAGUCAAGGGCAUAAGACAAGGUAAGACACGCCAAGUGCUUAACAAAUAGCAUUUUAAAAAUAAUGCCCCUGUCCUCUCUCCCUCUUAGAUUGUGAGCACCCUGUGGGACAGGGACUGUAGCCGAUCUGCGUAUUCUGGCUCUACCCCAGUGUUUAGCACAUAGUAUCAUAGUACGCACUUAGUAAGAGAAGCAGCAUGAUCUAGUGGAUAGAGCACAGGUGGUCAUGGGUUCUUACCCCAACUCUGCCCCUCGUCUGCUGCGUGGCCUUGGGCAAGUCAUUUCACUUCUCUGUGCCUCAGUUACCUCAUCUGUACAAUGGAGAUUAAGACUGUGAGCCCUAUGCGGGAUGGGAACUGUGUCCAACCCGAUUUGCUUGUAAUCACCCCAAGGCUCACGCCCAGCACAUGGAAAGCACUUAACAAAUACCAUAAUAAUAAUUACUACUUAACCAAUUCCACAGUGAUGAUGAUGAUAAUUAAGAAUUAGCCCUCAGGGAAGGCGGAGAAAUCUUGUGCAGCCAUGUGCUUUUUGUCCAGUUCUGAAGCCAGGCCCGGGCUGGUCCCGCUGCUCCUGGCACCGAAUAUCUGCCCCAGGAUGAAGUCCAGCUGGCAGCGUCAUUCUCCUGGCCUGAAG